Molecule: ribosomal RNA, 774 nt
Filed under: Staphylococcus pseudintermedius
Lineage: Bacteria; Bacillati; Bacillota; Bacilli; Caryophanales; Staphylococcaceae
Description: partial 23S ribosomal RNA
Rfam family: Bacterial large subunit ribosomal RNA
Source: RNAcentral
CUAAGGCUAAAUACUCUCUAGUGACCGAUAGUGAACCAGUACCGUGAGGGAAAGGUGAAAAGUACCCCGGAAGGGGAGUGAAAGAGAACUUGAAACCGUGUGCUUACAAGUAGUCAGAGCCCGUUAAUGGGUGAUGGCGUGCCUUUUGUAGAAUGAACCGGCGAGUUACGAUCUGAUGCAAGGUUAAGCAGAAAAUGUGGAGCCGUAGCGAAAGCGAGUCUGAAUAGGGCGAAUGAGUAUUUGGUCGUAGACCCGAAACCAGGUGAUCUACCCUUGGUCAGGUUGAAGUUCAGGUAACACUGAAUGGAGGACCGAACCGACUUACGUUGAAAAGUGAGCGGAUGAACUGAGGGUAGCGGAGAAAUUCCAAUCGAACUUGGAGAUAGCUGGUUCUCUCCGAAAUAGCUUUAGGGCUAGCCUCAAGUGAUGAUUAUUGGAGGUAGAGCACUGUUUGGACGAGGGGCCCCUCUCGGGUUACCGAAUUCAGACAAACUCCGAAUGCCAAAUAAUUUAACUUGGGAGUCAGAAUGUGGGUGAUAAGGUCCAUAUUCGAAAGGGAAACAGCCCAGACCACCAGCUAAGGUCCCAAAAUAUAUGUUAAGUGGAAAAGGAUGUGGCGUUGCCCAGACAACUAGGAUGUUGGCUUAGAAGCAGCCAUCAUUUAAAGAGUGCGUAAUAGCUCACUAGUCGAGUGACACUGCGCCGAAAAUGUACCGGGGCUAAACAUAUUACCGAAGCUGUGGAUUGUCCUUUGGACAAUGGUAGGAGAGCGUU